AUUGAUUUUAUGCUUGCAUAAAUGAUUUUUGGAUUCGGAGCGAGUGGCGAACUGGUGAGUAACACGUGAGUAACCUGCCCCGAAGCGGGGGAUAACAUUUGGAAACAAAUGCUAAUACCGCAUAAUUAGUCAGAACCGCAUGGUUCCGACUUAAAAGAUGGCUCUGCUAUCACUUCGGGAUGGACCCGCGCCGUAUUAGUUAGUUGGUGAGAUAAAAGCCCACCAAGACGAUGAUACGUAGCCGACCUGAGAGGGUAAUCGGCCACAUUGGGACUGAGACACGGCCCAGACUCCUACGGGAGGCAGCAGUAGGGAAUCUUCCACAAUGGACGAAAGUCUGAUGGAGCAACGCCGCGUGAGUGAUGAAGGGUUUCGGCUCGUAAAACUCUGUUGUUAAAGAAGAACAAGCAUGAGAGUAACUGUUCAUGCUUUGACGGUAUUUAACCAGAAAGCCACGGCUAACUACGUGCCAGCAGCCGCGGUAAUACGUAGGUGGCAAGCGUUGUCCGGAUUUAUUGGGCGUAAAGCGAGCGCAGGCGGUUUUGUAAGUCUGCUGUGAAAGCCCUCAGCUCAACUGAGGAAGUGCAGUGGAAACUACAAAACUUGAGUACAGAAGAGGAGAGUGGAACUCCAUGUGUAGCGGUGAAAUGCGUAGAUAUAUGGAAGAACACCAGUGGCGAAGGCGGCUUUCUGGUCUGUUACUGACGCUGAGGCUCGAAAGCAUGGGUAGCGAACAGGAUUAGAUACCCUGGUAGUCCGUGCCGUAAACGAUGAAUACUAGGUGUUGGAGGGUUUCCGCCCUUCAGUGCCGCAGCUAACGCAUUAAGUAUUCCGCCUGGGGAGUACGACCGCAAGGUUGAAACUCAAAGGAAUUGACGGGGGCCCGCACAAGUGGUGGAGCAUGUGGUUUAAUUCGAUGCUACGCGAAGAACCUUACCAGCUCUUGACAUCUUCUGCCAACCUAAGAGAUUAGGCGUUCCCUUCGGGGACAGAAUGACAGGUGGUGCAUGGUUGUCGUCAGCUCGUGUCGUGAGAUGUUGGGUUAAGUCCCGCAACGAGCGCAACCCUUAUUAUUAGUUGCCAGCAUUUAGUUGGGCACUCUAGUGAGACUGCCGGUGAUAAA
Molecule: ribosomal RNA, 1123 nt
Filed under: uncultured bacterium
Lineage: Bacteria
Description: bacterial SSU rRNA
Rfam family: Bacterial small subunit ribosomal RNA
Source: RNAcentral